GAUGAGCGCUGGCGGCGUGCCUAAUACAUGCAAGUCGAGCGAACAGACGAGGAUCUUGCUCCUUUUACGUUAGCGGCGGACGGGUGAGUAACACGAGGGUAACCGAUCUAUAAGACUGGGAUAACUUCGGGAAACCGGAGCUAACACCCGACAAGAUUUCGAACCGCAUGGUUCGUUAGUGAAAGAUGGCUUUGCUAUCACUUAUUGAUGUAACUGGGCCGUAUUAGCUAGUUGGUAAGGUAACGGCUUACCAAGGCAACGAUACGUAGCCGACCUGAGAGGGUGAUCGGCCACACUGGAACUGAGACACGGUCCAGACUCCUACGGGAGGCAGCAGUAGGGAAUCUUCCGCAAUGGGCGAAAGCCUGACGGAGCAACGCCGCGUGAGUGAUGAAGGUCUUCGGAUCGUAAAACUCUGUUAUUAGGGAAGAACAAAAGUGUAAGUAACUGUGCACGUCUUGACGGUACCUAAUCAGAAAGCCACGGCUAACUACGUG
This 497-nucleotide ribosomal RNA is filed under the name uncultured bacterium. Its description in RNAcentral is "partial 16S ribosomal RNA". It matches the Rfam family "Bacterial small subunit ribosomal RNA", at positions 28 to 507 of the family's 1533-position model. The record is from RNAcentral.